AAUCUCUUAAAGGGCAUCUUGGUUCGGAUCGCAGUCUGCAACUCGACUGCGUGAAGGUGGAGUCGCUAGUAAUCGCAGAUCAGCAUUGCUGCGGUGAAUACGUUCUCGGGCCUUGUACACACCGCCCGUCACGUCACGAAAGUUGGUAACACCCGAAGCCUGUGGCCUAACCUUUUUGGGGGGGAGUGGUCGAAGGUGGGGCUAGCGAUUGGGACGAAGUCGUAACAAGGUAGCCGUACCGGAAGGUGCGGCUGGAUCACCUCCUUU
Molecule: non-coding RNA, 267 nt
Filed under: Winkia neuii BV029A5
Lineage: Bacteria; Bacillati; Actinomycetota; Actinomycetes; Actinomycetales; Actinomycetaceae
Description: Actinomyces neuii BVS029A5 Bacterial small subunit ribosomal RNA
Rfam family: Bacterial small subunit ribosomal RNA
Source: Rfam by way of RNAcentral